ACGAGCAUGCUGCAUACGCGGCCUCUUUAUUUGUUAGGAGUUUCAGUGUCUCUAGGGCCUGACACCAAGUUGACCGUUGUGGCCUAGAGCUGUUAUAAGGGAGCUUUUAGCGGCCCUGCUGAGAACAGAGCCAGCACCUCCAGAUUGGCAGGGCAGGGGCUGUUCCUGCUGGGAGCUGCAGGUCACUCCCUGUAGCCCUUGGCUGAUCUUGCUCAUCCACUCCCUCCCUCAUUCAGUAGUUCCUGAGUGCCGCCUCUGUGUGGAGGAGAAGGCAGCCUUCCAGCCCAGGUGGGGCCUGCAGGUACACAAAGGGAGAGGCAGCUGUGCACUAAGCUGGCUGUAGGCUGGGACAGCGUGGCUCCAGAGGUGGUGAUAGAAUGCUCUGGGACUGCAGAGGGAACACAUGCUUGUGAAAGGGAGGAAGGGGCAGUCACCGCAGAGGAGGUGUACUUGAGUUGGACUUUGAGGGAGGAGUUGGAUUUCCACAGUGGAACCGAGCAGCUGAGGCUUUCUCAGCAGCUGAAGAUUACAGCCAGCCAGCCUCAAAUGUUCAGUUUUUCCUGAAUUCCCUUUUUUAAGAGAGUGCAGUAAGUUUUCAACAGAGAUAAAGCAGUCACCUCCAUGUCAUUCAUGUUCUGCAAAUCCUACGUGUAGUUUUUGAUGCUUAGCAGAUGGGAGCAGCCUGGGCCAUAAGAGAAGAGCCUGUGUGUCCACUUGUUUGGACAUCAGUCAGGUGUGGCACAGGGCAGUGAUCGCUGCCUUCCCCUGAGGAACUCAGUUGUACUUUUAUGUGGAGAGGACAAAGAAAGCUGUUGUACAGGGGGCAGGAGACAUUUCACCUGCAAAGCAAGGCACAAAAUACAUAGUCUGUGCCCUGCAUGAGAAACCUAGCAGAACUGUGUGCUGAUUCCCACCCCUGCCUCCCCUUCUGAGAGCGAACCGUCCAUUGUACCAUGGUGGAAGGCAUUUCUGAAGCCUCUGCAAUCGGAGUGAUCUGUUACUUGCCCAUUGAGCCUUAGGGGCAGCAACCAGAUGGUGUGGCUGAAACACAGGCCUUGGCCAGACGUUGUUGGUCAUGUUGGUUCUGCCACUGAUUGUGAAUUACAAAACCUUGGAGAAGUCAUUGUCUUUGUGUGUGCCUCUCAUGUAAGAUGGGGAACACUGUGGCCAUUGCAGAAAAGCAGAUAGGUGGAGCGAGUAUGGAGUGCUUUGUGUGUGUGUGUCAUACGGUGAAUGAAAUGGCACUGAUUGACAUUAUUGAUAGUAAUAACAGGUUUAAUUCAGGAAUAAAACUGGUAAAGUAGGCCAGGUGCGGUGACUUAUGCCUGUAUUCCCAGCACUUUGGGAGGCCAAGGCGGGCGGAUCAUGAGGUCAGGAGUUUGAGACCAGCCUGGCCAAUAUGGUGAAACCCCAUCUUUACUAAAAAUACAAAAAUUAGCUGGGUGUGGUGGUAGUCCUGGGUGCGCCUGUAGUCCCAGCUACUUGAGAGGCUGAAGCAGGAGAAUCGUUUGAACUCGGGAGGUGGAGGUUACAGUGAGCCGAGAUGGUGUCACUGCACUCCAGCCUGGGCUAGAGAGUGAAACUCCAUCUCAAAAAAAAAAAAAAAA
Molecule: long non-coding RNA, 1607 nt
Organism: Macaca fascicularis (crab-eating macaque)
Lineage: Eukaryota; Metazoa; Chordata; Mammalia; Primates; Cercopithecidae
Source: Ensembl